This 586-nucleotide ribosomal RNA is filed under the name uncultured Planctomycetota bacterium. Its description in RNAcentral is "bacterial SSU rRNA". It matches the Rfam family "Bacterial small subunit ribosomal RNA", at positions 347 to 927 of the family's 1533-position model. Lineage: Bacteria; Pseudomonadati; Planctomycetota. The record is from RNAcentral.
GGCUGCAGUCGAGGAUCUUCGGCAAUGGGCGCAAGCCUGACCGAGCGACGCCGCGUGUGGGAUGAAGGCCCUUGGGUUGUAAACCACUGUCAGGGGGGACGAAAUGCGCGCGGGUACUCCCGUGCGUUUGACAGAGCCCCAGAGGAAGCACGGGCUAAGUUCGUGCCAGCAGCCGCGGUAAUACGAACUGUGCAAACGUUAUUCGGAAUCACUGGGCUUAAAGGGUGCGUAGGCGGCUUAUUAAGCAGGGUGUGAAAGCCCCCGGCUCAACCGGGGAAUAGCGCUCUGAACUGAUGAGCUGGAGCGAGGCAGGGGUGCGCGGAACUUCCAGUGGAGCGGUGAAAUGUGUUGAUAUUGGAAGGAACACCGGAGGCGAAAGCGGCGCGCUGGGUCUUGUCUGACGCUGAGGCACGAAAGCCAGGGGAGCAAACGGGAUUAGAUACCCCGGUAGUCCUGGCCCUAAACGAUGCGCACUAGGUAGCGGCUCGUUCCGACGAGCCGCUGCCGGAGCAAAAGUUUUAAGUGCGCCGCCUGGGGAGUACGGCCGCAAGGUUAAAACUCAAAGGAAUUGACGGGGGCUCACACA